AUGGCGUCCGCGCUGCAGCCUGCACCUUGCCGGUCGCCUCCACCCCUACGCGUCCGCGCUGCUGCCUGCAAGUCGCCGGUCGCCUCGACCCCGUCGCGUCUGCACUGCCGCCUGCACAUGGCCGGUUGCCUGGCCCUAGUGCGCCCGAGCUACCGCCUGCAAUGCAUAUCGCCAUUCGCCAACACUACAUUGCAAGUGAAACUUGUACUUGAAGAAAAGUCCAAUGGCGUGGUACAAGAAGUGUCAGAAAUUAAGUGGCUUAUGUUUGGUACAUCUCUAAGUGAUAGUUCUCAUGAAAGCCAGCAUGAACAAGACUGA
Molecule: ribosomal RNA, 318 nt
Filed under: Triticum aestivum (bread wheat)
Lineage: Eukaryota; Viridiplantae; Streptophyta; Magnoliopsida; Poales; Poaceae
Description: partial small subunit ribosomal RNA
Source: RNAcentral